RNAcentral lists this ribosomal RNA (253 nucleotides) under uncultured bacterium. Its description in RNAcentral is "partial 16S ribosomal RNA". It matches the Rfam family "Bacterial small subunit ribosomal RNA", at positions 524 to 776 of the family's 1533-position model. The record is from RNAcentral.
UACGAAGGGGGCUAGCGUUGUUCGGAAUUACUGGGCGUAAAGCGCGCGUAGGCGGUUUUUCAAGUCAGUGGUGAAAGCCCGGAGCUCAACUCCGGAACUGCCAUUGAAACUGUGAAACUUGAGGAUGAGAGAGGGAAGUGGAAUUCCCGGUGUAGUGGUGAAAUGCGUAGAUAUCGGGAGGAACACCAGUGGCGAAGGCGACUUCCUGGCCUGUUCUUGACGCUGAGGCGCGAAAGCUAGGGUAGCAAACGGG